Molecule: ribosomal RNA, 225 nt
Filed under: uncultured Lactobacillus sp.
Lineage: Bacteria; Bacillati; Bacillota; Bacilli; Lactobacillales; Lactobacillaceae
Description: partial 16S ribosomal RNA
Rfam family: Bacterial small subunit ribosomal RNA
Source: RNAcentral
UCGGGAUAACACCUAGGAAACAGAUGCUAAUACCGGAUAACAACAGAUGAUGCCUAUCAACUAGUUUAAAGAUGGUUCUGCUAUCACUCUUGGAUGGACCUGCGGUGCAUUAGCUAGUUGGUAGGGUAACGGCCUACCAAGGCGAUGAUGCAUAGCCGAGUUGAGAGACUGAUCGGCCACAUUGGGACUGAGACACGGCCCAAACUCCUACGGGAGGCAGCAGGC